ACCCCAGCUCUGCAGCAACAGGCUGAUGAUGCUGAGGAGAGAGCCAAGUGCUUCCAGUGAGAACAGGAUCACACUCAGGAGUGUGUGGCCACUGCCCUGCAAAAGCUGGAAGAAGUGGGAAAAGCUUCUGAUAAGAGUAAGAAAGUAAGAAAGGUAUAAAGGUUAUUGAAAACUGGAGAGAGAGAGGGAAGAAAGAAAAACAGAAAGAGGAAGAAAAGAAGACGAAGGAAAGAUGGAACUCCGGGAAAUCCAACUCAAAGAAGCUAAGCAUAUUGAAGAAAAGGCAGAUAGGAAGUGUGAAGAAGUGGUUUAUAUAUUGGUAAUUAUUGAAGGAGACUUGGAAUCCACAGAGAAAGGAGCUGAGCUGGCAGAAUCCUGUUG
Molecule: long non-coding RNA, 381 nt
Filed under: Homo sapiens (human)
Lineage: Eukaryota; Metazoa; Chordata; Mammalia; Primates; Hominidae
Description: non-protein coding lnc-C8orf59-6:1
Source: RNAcentral